CUGCCCUACGGGGCGCAGCAGUGGGGAAUAUUGCACAAUGGGGGAAACCCUGAUGCAGCGACGCCGCGUGAGUGAGGAAGUAUUUCGGUAUGUAAAGCUCUAUCAGCAGGGAAGAAAAUGACGGUACCUGACUAAGAAGCCCCGGCUAACUACGUGCCAGCAGCCGCGGUAAUACGUAGGGGGCAAGCGUUAUCCGGAUUUACUGGGUGUAAAGGGAGCGUAGACGGAGGAGCAAGUCUGAUGUGAAAGGCGGGGGCCCAACCCCUGGACUGCUUUGGGAACUGUACGGCUUGGGUGCAGGAGAG
Molecule: ribosomal RNA, 305 nt
Filed under: uncultured bacterium
Lineage: Bacteria
Description: bacterial SSU rRNA
Rfam family: Bacterial small subunit ribosomal RNA
Source: RNAcentral